AUUAUCAGCAGCAUCAAUCAUCGCAAUUACCCUCCUCAAAUCCCAAACCCUCUCGCAAUAAUAAUCCACUAAUUAAUCGCCCUUAUUUUUUCCCCGAGCCGUUCCAAUUUCCGAGCCAUCGAAUCGAAUCCAGCAUCAUCGAUCGUGUGAUGAACUCACGAUUGACCACGAAACCCUCACCUCUCCAUCUCGGUCUCGUCGGCGGCGGCCUCCGCCUGCUGCGGAGUUGACGAGGAGAGCUGCGCGGCGGCGAGCGCGUCGGCGAGGGCGCGCAUGGCCUUGACCUGCAUCUCCAGCGCGGCCACGUAGUCGGCCGUCUCCUCGAGCAGCGCCGGCGCGGGGAGCUUCCGGCAUCCGGGGACGAGGCGGCCCAGCACGCGGAGGCGCUCCUUCACCUUCCUCUCCUUCAGCAUCGGGGGCUCGCCGGCGGAGGAGGCGGCCGCGGCCGCCUUAGCCGCCGCCGCCGCCGCGGCGCGCGCCUGCGGGCGGCGGCAGCUGUUGCCACCGCCGCCGCGGCGGAUCUUCCCGCCGGCCUUGACGAGCACGCGGCGCCUGGACGACGCCGCGCCGGCCAGCAGGAUGGCGCGGCUCCACCUCGACUGCCCCCGCGCGGUGAGCGCCAGCGCCGAGUCCGCCGCGGCCUUCACCGCCCGCGGCUGCGGCGGCGCGCCCCCGCCCCCGCCUGCAGCCCCGUCCCGCGUGGCCCGCAGCGCGUCGAGCAGGCGCCGCCCGUAGAUCCUCUCCUGCGCGCCGCUCCUCCACUUGGUCCUCGUCGCCGCCGCCGCCGCGGCGCCCGCACCCGCACCCGCCUUCCCCCGCACCUUCGCCAUGCCCGCCACCCUCACCCCCGACGACGACGCAGAAGACGACGCCGCCGACGACGAGCCGCUGCCUGUAGAGAUCAUCACGCCCACCUCCACCUCCGAUUACCACCAAUCAGGCGGCGGCGGCGGUGGUGGUGGUGGGAAGAGGAGGAGAGGGAAAGGAGAAGAGAGAGAGAGAGAGAGAGAGAGAGAGAGGUAAGCUUUUCUUUUGUGGCGUAGUUGGGGUUGGGUGUACUUAUUUGGUGCGGGGGGUGGUGGUGAUUAGCGGAGUGGAUUAGACAUGGGGAGUGGUGUCGUGGUGAGGUGGUGGUGGUGGUGGUGGUGUUCGCCUCGCCUUUUGAUCGUUCGGUUUGGUGUGGAAUUUGGCGGUGAGGUGAGACGAGCGAGGUAUGAGUCGCGCCUCGCGGUAGGC
Molecule: small RNA, 1236 nt
Filed under: Oryza sativa Japonica Group (Japanese rice)
Lineage: Eukaryota; Viridiplantae; Streptophyta; Magnoliopsida; Poales; Poaceae
Description: sRNA Os01g0243450
Source: RNAcentral